This is a long non-coding RNA of Vombatus ursinus (common wombat), 988 nucleotides long. RefSeq lists it as uncharacterized. NCBI's taxonomy places the organism in Eukaryota, Metazoa, Chordata, Mammalia, Diprotodontia, Vombatidae. The transcript is spliced from 3 exons. The record is from RefSeq and is a predicted model, not a curated record.
CCGUCGGGGCCAACGUCUUUUCAGGGGCGUCCGACUCCCGGGAGGCAGAAAGACACAGGUCGCGGAGUACCCCUCCUCCCCAGUCAGUGAAGGCCAGAGUCAGGUCUGCUUCCUGUGGCUCCGAGCAUUCUCAGGUUAGAGACUGGCUCAGUAAAAUCCUGUGGACAAGAGCAGGAAAAAGAGAAGGAGGAGGAAGGUGGCCCCAGCCCCUGGAGAGGCCUUGGGGGGGGGGGGGACACUGGAACUGGCCAUUCAGGGACAUCCGGGAUUCUAAGAGGCUGAGAUGAGAUGGAGAGCUCACUAGACCAAGGUGCUGGAAAGGUGGAGUGGCCCAGGACAGAAAUGAAGAAGUGAGGAUGAGAGGAGGGCUUGGGAAGAGAUGUCGGCUUCUGUGGUGAUUUUGAUGAUGCAGGUGGCAUGGACAAUAAGAAGAACUGAUGAAGUGAGAAGAAAAAACUGGCAAGGUCAACUCAAUAAUCACAUAUUAAGUCCUUAUUGUGUGCAAAGCACCAGAUAGGUGCUAGGGGAGAUGCAGAGUUGAAAUGAUGGGCCCCAGUAACACUAAUUACUAUCAUUUAUUUAAACAAAGGACCACUUAUGUCUAAUUAGUGAGCACCCUAAUAGCAAUUGUGUGUAUCAUUAAAUAAGUAUUAGAUUAAGAACAAAAAGACUUUAGUGAUUUGGAACUGUCUGCCUCCUGUGGCUACCUGCUCUACCUUGGGAGAGUUGGCAAUUUGUUAGCUGAAAUCUGGCUCCCUGUAACAGUGCCCAGGUAAAUAGGUUUUUUUUUCAAAGUGACAGAUAUCCCUUUGACGCCUUGUCUUUCCCCAUCUCAGUUUUCAUAUAUCUCAGGUUGGCUUAAGAAAUUGAAUGGGAAUUUUGGGGGAGCUUUGUGGAAACUGCAGAUGACAGGCUAAGGCCAGCAGACCACACAGAAAAAGUUUAGAAAUUCAGAAAUGCAUAAAAUAUAUGUAUAGUAUUGUAUAAU